Molecule: non-coding RNA, 81 nt
Filed under: Candidatus Vecturithrix granuli
Lineage: Bacteria; Candidatus Moduliflexota; Candidatus Vecturitrichia; Candidatus Vecturitrichales; Candidatus Vecturitrichaceae
Description: Bacterium UASB270 c-di-GMP sequence
Rfam family: c-di-GMP-I-GGC riboswitch aptamer
Source: Rfam by way of RNAcentral
AUAGAAAAAGCCAAACUCACUGUGAGGUGAGGGCGGAAAACCACGGGUCCCUUAGAAAUUUGGAUAGCCGGGUUGCCUAAA